Non-coding RNA from Nylanderia fulva, 974 nucleotides. Lineage: Eukaryota; Metazoa; Arthropoda; Insecta; Hymenoptera; Formicidae. The record is from RefSeq and is a predicted model, not a curated record.
UUGUCGUACAUCACAUUUGAUAAAUCACAGUUUCACGGUUGGUAAUCAUGAGUGGCAAUAACGACAUAGUAGUGGUCGUGCGCGAGAAAUUGUUCGGGAAAAGCGUAUAGAAAUCUAUGAAAAUUUGGUUCUAAAAAGGUAAUCAAAUAAUUAUUUCGGUGAAAUUAUGAUGUGUUAUGUAUCGCGAGUGGAAAUCAAUCAAUAUUUUUCGGACAUCGCGUCGAUAAUUUAUACGCUGAGAGUAAUUAUAUACGCGAGUUUGUGGACGGGCGCGCGUCGUAAAAAUAUUGAAAAAACGAGAGUAUCGAUCAAGAAGGUUAUGUUCGAUAUCGAUAUAUAUAUUGGCAAUAAUCGAUAGACGCGUUGCGCGCCAAAUAUCGCGACUUCAUGUUGGGAAUUUACAACGUGUUACAUAUCACUAAUGGAAACGCAUCGAUGGAGAAAUAACCAGAUUGUCUGCGAAUUCUACGGAUGAGAAUUGCUUACUUAUAUAAUCGUCGUUAGGUAAAGACUCAGGCCUUUUCGUCGGACCCGAACGAAAUCCCACUGAACUGCGCGCCAUCCCGACAGUUGAGCCUUUACUCUGGAAGUGAGACAGACCUCCGUACUGAUCGUAGGUGGUCCUCGCCGUCGGACGCAACGAUUUUAAAUUAAAAUUAAAGUCAAGCGUUCUUAUGGUCCAUGUGCUCGACAUCACCACCACCCGCGUAACAAUGUUAAUAGCUCCGCGUCGCCGAAAUUGCGAGUCCUUCUUCCUAUAAGUGGAGCCGCAGAAGCGCGAAUGUAUCGUAUUAUGUCACCGCGAGGUUUUUAUCAACACGUUAUUUUAAUAUUGUAUAUGUUAUUAUCAUGAGAAAGGAUUUAUAUAAAAAGUGCGCGAUGCUUGUGAUAUUCUAUUUACUAUAUCAAGGUUGAUGAUUCAAUAUUUCAACAGUCGCGUUGAAUAUUAGAGGCUGGUAGAGAUAUUUCUAUUU